GUCAGGCCCAAGUCCACAAUCUCACCUUUGACCGACUUCAUACCAAGUGUUUUACUAAGAACCUAAACCCUCUACUCUUCCUCCUAAAACCCAUUUCUGGCAAAAACAUGUCGGCAUUGUUACCGGAAACCUGCCGAAAAAUAAUCACACCGGAAUACCUCCGUUCAGCGGCGAAACAAUCGAUAAAAUGUCACGUAAUAUCCGUUCGUCUUCGUUGCGCCAUUGAAAAAUUCCUCCAAGAGCAAGAAACGGUGCAUAUGAAGAAUAGAGUGCGGAGAUUAACAGCAUCAUUUGCGGAGAUUAAGGAUGUAAAUCGAUUACUUCCUUCAACAUUAUCGAAAGAACUUGUUGAAGAUCCAAUAAAGUGGUUGGAAAAAUCGCAGAGGUGGAAAAUAAAGAGUGAAUAUGGUGAUAUUGGAUUAACUUAUGCUGAUGAUCAAACUGUUGCUUAUGUUGCUUCUCGAAUGCCUUCUGUUUAUUCUGCUUGUUUUAGAAUCCUUCGUGAGAUACGACGUAGGGUGCCAGAUUUUUCUCCAAAUAAAGUAUUAGACUUUGGGUCUGGUACUGGUUCGGCUUUCUGGGCAAUAAGAGAGGUUUGGCCGGGGAAAGUAGAGCAGUUGAAUUUGAUUGAGCCUUCACAGUCAAUGCAACGUGCUGGUGUUAGUCUUGUACGAGAUUUCAAGAACGUGCCAGUUAUUCACAGCUACAGAACUAUUCUAGCCUUAACUAAGAAGAUCAAAAAGGCUGAAAGGGAACACGACCUUGUCAUUGCUUCCUUUGUUCUUGGAGAGAUUCCAUCCCUGAAAGAUAGGAUUGCUGUAACGCGUCAUCUAUGGGGUCUUACUCGAGAUAUUCUGGUACUUGUUGAACCAGGCACGCCUGAGGGGUCAAAUAUCAUAACUCAGAUGCGAUCACAUAUUUUAUGGAUGGAACAGAGGAAAUGCCGGAAACUUAAGAAAAAGUCCGAUGAUGCUUUAGAAAAUUCAGGAGCUUCCAGUGCUGGUGCAUUUGUAAUUGCUCCGUGUCCCCAUGAUGGACCUUGUCCACUAGCUAAUACUGGAAAAUAUUGUCAUUUUGUUCAGCGGGUGGAGAGAACCGAGUCACAACGUGCAUUUAAGAGAUCAGGCAGUGCACCUUUGCGUGGUUUUGAGGAUGAAAAAUUUUCCUAUGUUGUGUUGAGACGGGGAAAAAGACCACAGGAGCCUUGGCCUCUGGAUGGCAUAAAGUUUGAGACCUUAAAAGAAAGAAAUGCCAAAAGGAACCCUGAGGAUUUGGAAAUAGACUUUGAAGGUGAAUAUGAGCUGGGUGCUGAUGACAUUGUACCCGAUGAAGUUUCUUUACAAGAUUCUGAUGCAACAGAAUUGGAGGUAUUGACUGAGCAUGAAGAUGAAGAGGAAGGAGAGGAAGUAGGCCAUGCAGAUUUGGGAACUGGUUGGGGUAGAAUAAUUUUCAUGCCUCAAAAGAGGGGUAAGCGUAUUGCAAUGGAUGUAUGUCGAGCUACCAAGCGUGAUGGUUCAGAAGGUGCGUUCGAGCAUUUGGUCAUUACAAAGGGGAAGAAUCCAACCUUACAUCAUCAAGCUCGGAAGUCCAUUUGGGGGGAUUUGUGGCCCUUCUAACUUCUAAGUGAAGCUGAUAACAGAGACUGAGCUUUUGGAUUGGUGACAGAGAUAUGUGCGGAAAAUCUACAUGAUUCAAGAUGGCAGUGCCUUGACUCAUGGUAGGUGCUUUAUUUUAAGGUUGAGAUUUAGUCAAAAGAAAAGUCCCCAAUGUGUUCCUUGUCCAGUCUGCCACAUUUUGAGUUUGAAAAUGGGAAAGAAAACAUUUCGCGCCCUUGGUUAACUGGUCACUGUUGUACAGGAAUCUUUACGGGAAGUGAAGCGUGUGAUUGUUGGAUUCUGUUCUAAUAAUAAGGUUUUAGAGUGUGGUUUGGGGGUAUACUAAUGAAUUUGUCCACCCACGGCAGAAGCGAGACUUCAAAAGUUUAGGGAAUUGAAUGGAGCAAAUGGCAAGGAUACUUGUACACUUCUGAAAAUAGAUUCAACUACAAGCGAACAUGUGGAUGAUUGCUUUAUCUGGAGAUGAUGAUCUACGUGUUUUCAUAUAUGGUGCAAGCUCUGCAAGGUGUGCCUUUGUAUUUCCCAUUUCGUUAAUCUUGUACACAUUAUGCAUCCAGCUAACAAUCCAGAAGGGCUACUCCUGUAAAAUGCAAGGAUACCGUCUUCUUGCCUUGCUUGAAUAUAAUUGAUACCCGAUGCAGAUAGUCAUCUACUGCAUGCAAUAUUUGAUCAGCAAAUUCUGACUGGCAUACUCGAAGUUCAUAAAAUAUUUAACUAGCUGACUGAAGUUUUGACAUCAGGAAAGAAUUGAAGAUUAAAGCCUUGACAUUUUUUAACUGAUCUUAGAUGGUUUAUGCUAGUUUUCUGAUGGCAUUUGUGAUAUCUUGUUUGGUUGACUUAUUUUAUAUAGUUCUGUCAUUCACAUUUGUGAGAUGUCAUGGACUCAUGGUUAUUAAAUCUAACGUGCAUUUACGGUCAGUUUGGUUUUUGGAAUUAAAUGGUAUAAGUGAUACUGAAAUAGUAGUAUACAUUGUAAUUUAACAAAAAAAUAUUGCUCCCUUUGUUCUAUUUAAUUUGCACGAAAUUUCUAUUUUAGAUUGUCCUAUUUACUCUGCACUCUUUUUUUUAAGAGCCCCUACAAUUUUCUUUUAUUUCCUUUUAUUUCCAUCCACAAUUUCAUUUGUUCUUUUAAUCUCUUCCAUUCAAUCUUCUAUCCCUUUUAUUCAAUUUAAAAUGUCCCAAAUCAAAUGGGACAGAGGGAACACGUGACAAGAUUUGUAAUCGAAAUUUUUGCUAGAAUUGUAACGGAGGAUUAGAACAAGAUUAUUUAGUGCAGGGAUAGAGUCUCAUUUACCUGCAAUAUCAAAUAAAGAGCAGUUUCCCACCAUUGAACCAAUAAUACCUCCCUGAAAUCAGCCAAAAAAUUCUCAUGAAUAUAUAUAUAUGCUAAAGGAAGUUGGGGAAGCCAACUGUUAUAUGACCUUUCCAUCAGGGCGAUAGCAAAUUGCAGUGACGAUU
RNA transcript from Amaranthus tricolor (Joseph's coat), 3074 nucleotides. RefSeq lists it as uncharacterized. The record is from RefSeq and is a predicted model, not a curated record. The transcript is spliced from 13 exons. NCBI's taxonomy places the organism in Eukaryota, Viridiplantae, Streptophyta, Magnoliopsida, Caryophyllales, Amaranthaceae.